This 19-nucleotide small nuclear RNA is filed under the name Arabidopsis thaliana (thale cress). RNAcentral's name for it is "snRNA_05082". Lineage: Eukaryota; Viridiplantae; Streptophyta; Magnoliopsida; Brassicales; Brassicaceae. The record is from RNAcentral.
AUUCCGGGUCAGAUCCGUU